GGGCAUUUGCGGCAGCUACCAUGCAAGUCGAGCGGCAGCACGGGAAGCUUGCUUCCUGGUGGCGAGCGGCGGACGGGUGAGUAAUGCAUAGGAAUCUGCCCGAUAGUGGGGGAUAACCUGGGGAAACCCAGGCUAAUACCGCAUACGUCCUACGGGAGAAAGCAGGGGCUCUUCGGACCUUGCGCUAUCGGAUGAGCCUAUGUCGGAUUAGCUGGUUGGUGAGGUAAUGGCUCACCAAGGCGACGAUCCGUAGCUGGUCUGAGAGGAUGAUCAGCCACAUCGGGACUGAGACACGGCCCGAACUCCUACGGGAGGCAGCAGUGGGGAAUAUUGGACAAUGGGCGCAAGCCUGAUCCAGCCAUGCCGCGUGUGUGAAGAAGGCCCUCGGGUUGUAAAGCACUUUCAGUGGGGAAGAAAGCCUUGGGGCUAAUACCCUCGAGGAAGGACAUCACCCACAGAAGAAGCACCGGCUAACUCCGUGCCAGCAGCCGCGGUAAUACGGAGGGUGCGAGCGUUAAUCGGAAUUACUGGGCGUAAAGCGCGCGUAGGUGGCUUGAUAAGCCGGUUGUGAAAGCCCCGGGCUCAACCUGGGAACGGCAUCCGGAACUGUCAGGCUAGAGUGCAGGAGAGGAAGGUAGAAUUCCCGGUGUAGCGGUGAAAUGCGUAGAGAUCGGGAGGAAUACCAGUGGCGAAGGCGGCCUUCUGGACUGACACUGACACUGAGGUGCGAAAGCGUGGGUAGCAAACAGGAUUAGAUACCCUGGUAGUCCACGCCGUAAACGAUGUCGACUAGCCGUUGGGAGCCUCGAGUUCUUAGUGGCGCAGUUAACGCGAUAAGUCGACCGCCUGGGGAGUACGGCCGCAAGGUUAAAACUCAAAUGAAUUGACGGGGGCCCGCACAAGCGGUGGAGCAUGUGGUUUAAUUCGAUGCAACGCGAAGAACCUUACCUACCCUUGACAUCGUGCGAACUUGGUAGAGAUACCUUGGUGCCUUCGGGAACGCACAGACAGGUGCUGCAUGGCUGUCGUCAGCUCGUGUUGUGAAAUGUUGGGUUAAGUCCCGUAACGAGCGCAACCCUUGUCCCUAUUUGCCAGCGAUUCGGUCGGGAACUCUAGGGAGACUGCCGGUGACAAACCGGAGGAAGGUGGGGACGACGUCAAGUCAUCAUGGCCCUUACGGGUAGGGCUACACACGUGCUACAAUGGUCGGUACAAAGGGUUGCAAAGCGGCGACGUGGAGCUAAUCCCAGAAAGCUGAUCUCAGUCCGGAUCGGAGUCUGCAACUCGACUCCGUGAAGUCGGAAUCGCUAGUAAUCGUGAAUCAGAAUGUCACGGUGAAUACGUUCCCGGGCCUUGUACACACCGCCCGUCACACCAUGGGAGUGGACUGCACCAGAAGUGGUUAGCCUAACUUCGGAGGGCGAUCACCACGGUGUGUGCAGAAGG
RNAcentral lists this ribosomal RNA (1446 nucleotides) under Halomonas sp. PJ-18. RNAcentral's name for it is "bacterial SSU rRNA". It matches the Rfam family "Bacterial small subunit ribosomal RNA". The record is from RNAcentral. Lineage: Bacteria; Pseudomonadati; Pseudomonadota; Gammaproteobacteria; Oceanospirillales; Halomonadaceae.